UACGUAGGGAGCAAGCGUUGUCCGGAAUCAUUGGGCGUAAAGCGCGCGUAGGUGGCCUCGUAAGUCCGCUGUGAAAGUCAAAGGCUCAACCUUUGAAAGCCGGUGGAAACUGUCUGGCUAGAGUCCGGAAGGGGCGAGUGGAAUUCCUGGUGUAGCGGUGAAAUGCGCAGAUAUCAGGAGGAACACCAAUGGCGAAGGCGGCAUCCUGGACCGAUAUUGACGCUGAUGCGCGAAAGCCAGGGGAGCAAACGGG
This 253-nucleotide ribosomal RNA is filed under the name uncultured bacterium. RNAcentral describes it as "partial 16S ribosomal RNA". It matches the Rfam family "Bacterial small subunit ribosomal RNA", at positions 524 to 776 of the family's 1533-position model. The record is from RNAcentral.